UCCGUAGGCGGGCAAUUAAGUCAGAGGUGAAAGUUUGCGGCUCAACCGUAAAAUUGCCUUUGAAACUGGUUGUCUUGAAUUAUUGUGAAGUGGUUAGAAUAUGUAGUGUAGCGGUGAAAUGCAUAGAUAUUACAUAGAAUACCAAUUGCGAAGGCAGAUCACUAACAAUAUAUUGACGCUGAUGGACGAAAGCGUGGGGAGCGAACAGGAUUAGAUACCCUGGUAGUCC
RNAcentral lists this ribosomal RNA (229 nucleotides) under uncultured bacterium. Its description in RNAcentral is "partial 16S ribosomal RNA". It matches the Rfam family "Bacterial small subunit ribosomal RNA", at positions 568 to 796 of the family's 1533-position model. The record is from RNAcentral.